This 303-nucleotide ribosomal RNA is filed under the name uncultured bacterium. RNAcentral's name for it is "partial 16S ribosomal RNA". It matches the Rfam family "Bacterial small subunit ribosomal RNA", at positions 507 to 807 of the family's 1533-position model. The record is from RNAcentral.
AGCAGUCGCCGCGGUAAUACGGAGGGUGCAAGCGUUAAUCGGAAUUACUGGGCGUAAAGCGCACGCAGGCGGUUUGUUAAGUCAGAUGUGAAAUCCCCGAGCUUAACUUGGGAACUGCAUUUGAAACUGGCAAGCUAGAGUCUUGUAGAGGGGGGUAGAAUUCCAGGUGUAGCGGUGAAAUGCGUAGAGAUCUGGAGGAAUACCGGUGGCGAAGGCGGCCCCCUGGACAAAGACUGACGCUCAGGUGCGAAAGCGUGGGGAGCAAACAGGAUUAGAUACCCCUGUAGUCCCUGUCUCUUAUAC